Long non-coding RNA from Oncorhynchus nerka (sockeye salmon), 396 nucleotides. RefSeq lists it as uncharacterized. The record is from RefSeq and is a predicted model, not a curated record. The transcript is spliced from 2 exons. NCBI's taxonomy places the organism in Eukaryota, Metazoa, Chordata, Actinopteri, Salmoniformes, Salmonidae.
AUUUUGUGUUUCACCCAACCAGCAACCGAUAUCCAAUGACUGGUAACAUUUUGUGUUUCACCCAACCAGCAACCGAUAUCCAAUGACAGGUGACAUUUUGUGUAGAUUUCAUGUUAAAUUCACUUCAGUUGAGGACUCAAAGAAAUGUAAAUAGAAACUAGAUGUUGAACUGACGUCUGUGCCCAGUGGGCUGGUUUGAAUAAGCAGCAGGUGUUGGAUCGAUAUCCACCUUAGUAGCUAAAUUUCCAUGUAAUUUGAGACAGAUUUUCAUGUGAAUAUUCAAAAAUCUGCAUAAAACUAUAUAUACAUUUUCCCACCAGAAAUGUUUCUAUCAAACAGAUUUAUUGCGGAUUAAAGGCUUUGCGUGACAAAUAAAUAACUUUUGCUGUUAAAUUC